UACGGAGGGUGCAAGCGUUAUCCGGAUUCACUGGGCUUAAAGGGUGCGUAGGUGGGCAGUUAAGUCAGUGGUGAAAUCUCCGGGCUUAACCCGGAAACUGCCAUUGAUACUAUCUGUCUUGAAUAUCGUGGAGGUAAGCGGAAUAUGUCAUGUAGCGGUGAAAUGCUUAGAUAUGACAUAGAACACCAAUUGCGAAGGCAGCUUACUACCCGAAUAUUGACACUGAGGCACGAAAGCGUGGGGAUCAAACAGG
Molecule: ribosomal RNA, 253 nt
Filed under: uncultured bacterium
Lineage: Bacteria
Description: partial 16S ribosomal RNA
Rfam family: Bacterial small subunit ribosomal RNA
Source: RNAcentral